Scophthalmus maximus (turbot) is the source of this 649-nucleotide long non-coding RNA. RefSeq lists it as uncharacterized. The transcript has 3 exons. The record is from RefSeq and is a predicted model, not a curated record. NCBI's taxonomy places the organism in Eukaryota, Metazoa, Chordata, Actinopteri, Pleuronectiformes, Scophthalmidae.
GUGAAAACUAUCAGCAGUGAGAGAAAAAAAACGCGCCUGCAGGGCUUUUGAGGCUUUUGUGAAUUUCCACCUUCAAAAAAAGAAAAGAUAAAAAACUGGCAGAGCAAACUUAAUCCUGCUCCUACGGGGCAGGAGGAGGCCCGACACACAAGAAAGACCCAAGGAAGAACAGAGCGAGGGAGAAAAGAGCCUUCGGAACAGGAGAGAGCCUUGUUUCGUCCCGCUGUGACAUAAUCUCUCUUCAAAUGCAGCCUGCGAUGGAUGCGGCGCCUGAAUCGGGACACAGCUUAGUUUCAGGUGGAUUCGUCUGCUGUGCCGCGGCAACUUCUGGAACCUAAUGAGUCGACUUGUGAGGUAGUUUCUCAAAGUGGGAUGAUCAGGAUGAAGUAUUUCACAUUGGCCGCGGUGGCGGUAUGUAGCCACGCUGCCAAACACAAACCUCAGCACUCUGUUGUUCAUUAGGGCUUGUUGGUUUUUUUGUUUUUUUUGGGGGGGGGGGGGUUCUUGUUGUUGUUGUUUUCUCCUCCAUUAAGUGUUGCCUGGGGGACCAACUGGUUCCCCCUGAUUUAUCACUGUAUUUCACGAACACUCUUAAAACAGCAGGAUGGUUACAAAUAGUCAGGAUCCUGCAAAUGACCAAAUAAAUAAA